RNAcentral lists this ribosomal RNA (253 nucleotides) under uncultured bacterium. Its description in RNAcentral is "partial 16S ribosomal RNA". It matches the Rfam family "Bacterial small subunit ribosomal RNA", at positions 524 to 776 of the family's 1533-position model. The record is from RNAcentral.
UACGUAGGGGGCAAGCGUUGUCCGGAAUCAUUGGGCGUAAAGAGCGUGUAGGCGGCCCGGUAAGUCCGCUGUGAAAGUCCAGGGCUCAACCCUGGGAUGCCGGUGGAUACUGUCGGGCUCGAGUCCGGAAGAGGAGUGUGGAAUUCCUGGUGUAGCGGUGAAAUGCGCAGAUAUCGGGAGGAACACCAAUGGCGAAGGCAGCUCGCUGGGACGUUACUGACGCUGAGACGCGAAAGCGUGGGGAGCAAACAGG